Odobenus rosmarus divergens (Pacific walrus) is the source of this 1479-nucleotide RNA transcript. It is a transcript of the gene named neurofilament light polypeptide-like, with no coding region annotated. The transcript has 2 exons. The record is from RefSeq and is a predicted model, not a curated record. NCBI's taxonomy places the organism in Eukaryota, Metazoa, Chordata, Mammalia, Carnivora, Odobenidae.
AUGCAUGCACCCUUCUGUUGUGGCUGGGCUGUGAUAGGGCUGUGCUCUGGUGUGGCUGGCUGUGAGGCCCCGCCACAACUGCUACAGACAGAUACACUGGUCAGUGGGCCCGGUUCCCCAGCCUUUUGGGUAAAAGGCCCAGCUGUGACUGCUGUGGGCAUGCUGGUGGUGGGGUGGGCCUACACUGCAGCUGGCCACAAGGAAGAAAAUAAAAAAAUCUAUUAUUUAGAGUACGCUCAGAUCUCCGUGGAGAUGGACGUGUCCUCCAAGCCCGACCUCUCCGCCGCCCUCAAGGACAUCCGUGCUCAGUACGAGAAGCUGGCUGCCAAGAACAUGCAGAACGCCGAAGAGUGGUUCAAGGAACGAAGCGCUGGAGAAGCAGCUGCAGGAGCUGGAGGAUAAGCAGAACGCCGAUAUUAGUGCUAUGCAGGACACAAUCAACAAAUUAGAAAAUGAAUUGAGAACCACGAAGAGUGAAAUGGCACGAUACCUUAAAGAAUACCAAGACCUCCUCAAUGUGAAGAUGGCUUUGGACAUUGAGAUUGCAGCUUCCAGGAAACUCUUGGAAGGUGAGGAGACCCGACUCAGUUUCACCAGCGUCGGAAGCAUAGCCAGCGGCUACUCCCAGAGAUCUCAGGUCUUUGGCCGAUCUGCCUAUGGCGGGUUACAGACCAGCUCCUACUUGAUGUCUGCCCGCUCCUUCCCGUCUUACUACACCAGCCACGUCCAGGAGGAGCAGAUUGAGGUGGAGGAGACCAUUGAGGCUGCAAAGGCCGAGGAAGCCAAGGACGAACCCGCCUCUGAAGGAGAAGCCGAGGAGGAGGAGAAGGAGGAGAAGGAGAAAGAAGAGGCUGCUGAAGAGGAAGGAGCCAGAGAGGAAGAAGCUGCCAAGGAAGAAUCUGAGGAGGCAAAGGAGGAAGAGGAAGGAGGUGAAGGUGAAGAAGGAGAAGAAACCAAAGAAGCCGAGGAGGAGGAGGAGAAAAAAGACGAAGGUGCUGGGGAGGAGCAAGCAACUAAAAAGAAAGAUUGAGCCCCUCUGUCCUUAAUCCUUCCAGGAGGAAUUCUCCCGAAAUCAGGUCAACCCCAUCACCAACCAACCAGUUGAGUUCCAGAUACUAUAUGAAUUAAGAAGUUCAAUAUAUGUAUAAUUCAGAGAUGACUUAGGUUGGACAUUCAAUGUUGUGCUAUGACUUUUCUCCUUAUGCAGAGUAUCUGUUUGCUUGCAGAGUGGCUUCCUGGCUUGCUGCCAGCUUGUGCAUGGUCCACGCUUACAAGUUCAGGAUCUAUGGCAAUGUGAAUAAUUCAGAUGUUUACAAUUAAAAAAAAACACAUGAAUAAAUGAAUUCACUGAUGUCAAUGUUAAACUUCAUGGUAAAAAUAGUCCUUUGAACCUUUGGUGGUUAGAAAUUAAAGACCUCGAAUCAUGUGCAAUACAUAGUAAAUAAAGUUACACUGAAUGACAAAAAAAAAAUCUAUUAU